GAACGAACGCUGGCGGCAGGCCUAACACAUGCAAGUCGAGCGAUCCUUCGGGAUAGCGGCGGACGGGUGAGUAACGCGUGGGAACGUGCCCGAUGGUGCGGGAUAGCCUCUGGAAUCAGAGAUUAAUACCGCAUGUACCCUGCAGGGGAAAGAUUUAUCGCCAUCGGAUCGGCCCGCGUUGGAUUAGGUAGUUGGUGGGGUAACGGCCUACCAAGCCGACGAUCCAUAGCUGGUUUGAGAGGAUGAUCAGCCACACUGGGACUGAGACACGGCCCAGACUCCUACGGGAGGCAGCAGUGGGGAAUCAUAGACAAUGGGGGAAACCCUGAUCUUGCCAUGCCGCGUGAGCGAUGAAGGCCCUAGGGUUGUAAAGCUCUUUCGCCAGGGAAGAUAAUGACGGUACCUGGUAAAGAAACCCCGGCUAACUCCGUGCCAGCAGCCGCGGUAAUACGGAGGGGGUUAGCAGUUGUUCGGAAUUACUGGGCGUAAAGCGCACGUAGGCGGACUGGAAAGUUGGGGGUGAAAUCCCGGGGCUCAACCCCGGAACUGCCUUCAAGACUGUCAGUCUGGAGUCCGAGAGAGGUGAGUGGAACUCCGAGUGUAGAGGUGAAAUUC
RNAcentral lists this ribosomal RNA (615 nucleotides) under uncultured organism. RNAcentral's name for it is "bacterial SSU rRNA". It matches the Rfam family "Bacterial small subunit ribosomal RNA", at positions 27 to 689 of the family's 1533-position model. The record is from RNAcentral.